RNAcentral lists this ribosomal RNA (300 nucleotides) under uncultured soil bacterium. Its description in RNAcentral is "bacterial SSU rRNA". It matches the Rfam family "Bacterial small subunit ribosomal RNA", at positions 26 to 324 of the family's 1533-position model. The record is from RNAcentral.
AGAUUGAACGCUGGCGGCAUGCCUUACACAUGCAAGUCGAACGGCAGCACGGGAGCAAUCCUGGUGGCGAGUGGCGAACGGGUGAGUAAUAUAUCGGAACGUGCCCAGUCGUGGGGGAUAACGCAGCGAAAGCUGUGCUAAUACCGCAUACGAUCUCUGGAUGAAAGCGGGGGACUCGCAAGAGCCUCGCGCGAUUGGAGCGGCCGAUAUCAGAUUAGCUAGUUGGUAGGGGUAAAACGCCCACCAAGGCGACGAUCUGUAGCUGGUCUGAGAGGACGACCAGCCACACUGGGACUGAGA